Molecule: ribosomal RNA, 916 nt
Filed under: uncultured bacterium
Lineage: Bacteria
Description: bacterial SSU rRNA
Rfam family: Bacterial small subunit ribosomal RNA
Source: RNAcentral
AGAGUUUGAUCAUGGCUCAGAACGAACGCUGGCGGCGUGCUUAACACAUGCAAGUCGAGUGCGCGUGCCGUAGCAAUACGGUAUGGCGCACGGCGCACGGGUGCGUAACACGUGGGCAAUCUGCCCUUCGAUGGGGAAUAACUCCGGGAAACCGAAGCUAAUUCCGCAUAACAUUCCCUGGACUCCGGUUCGGGGAUUCAAAGCAGCAAUGCGUCGGAGGAGGAGCCCGCGCCCGAUUAGCUAGUUGGUAGGGUAACGGCCUACCAAGGCUUUGAUCGGUAGCUGGUCUGAGAGGAUGGCCAGCCACACUGGAACUGAGACACGGUCCAGACUCCUACGGGAGGCAGCAGUGGGGAAUCUUGCGCAAUGGGCGAAAGCCUGACGCAGCGACGCCGCGUGGGGGAUGAAGCUUCUCGGAGUGUAAACCCCUUUCGACUGGGACGAAUGCCUCGCAAGAGGAGUGACGGUACCAGUAGAAGAAGCCCCGGCUAACUACGUGCCAGCAGCCGCGGUAAGACGUAGGGGGCCAGCGUUGUUCGGAAUUACUGGGUGUAAAGGGUUCGUAGGCGGUGUGGCAAGUCGGGAGUGAAAUUUCUGGGCUUAACCCAGAGGCUGCUUCCGAAACUGCUGUGCUCGAGUGUGGGAGAGGCGCGUGGAAUUGCAGGUGUAGCGGUGAAAUGCGUAGAUAUCUGCAGGAACACCCGUGGCGAAAGCGGCGCGCUGGACCACAACUGACGCUGAGGAACGAAAGCUAGGGGAGCAAACAGGAUUAGAUACCCUGGUAGUCCUAGCCCUAAACGAUCAGGACUUGGGGUGCCACCCGUUCGGGUGUCGUCCCGGAGCUAACGCGUUAAGUCCUGCACCUGGGGAGUACGGUCGCAAGACUGAAACUCAAAGGAAUUGACGGGGCCCGCAC